UUGUUUGUGUUGUUGGGUUCGAUCAGAAGGCAGGGGGCGACUUCAAGCUCCCCAAAACCCUAGUUCACAUCAAAAACCACCAAUUGAAGGAUCAAAUCGAGUCCAAAACGAAAAUCGAGCAUAUUCGUGAUCCCCAUUGAAAGGAGAUCAUAAGUUUGUCGCCUAACGAGCUAGGUGGAGGCUUGGAAAAGAAGCGGUCAAACGAAUCAAGCACGAGAAGAAAACGUAUUCGGAUGCGAGGAAAUAACAUGUGUUGCGUUGCUUUAAUUAGAAAAUUUAAAGCAGGAAGUAUGUAAACGGGUCAAUACUAUGAUCCGAGCCAGGUGAAGAUGGGAUAAGCGGUUGAAAGAUACGAAAGUUUUCGUGCAAAUAAACGGCAAAAUAGGAAAGCUGGAAUGCAGGGACCACCGUAACUUACGGUGCCACCGUAAGUUACGGUGGAGCUGAAGGCUUUACGGCAGCCCCCUACUGAUUUACGUUGAAGGACACUCGCAUAUUAGGAUAGCGAGAGCUUAACAAAUUACGGAUAUGAUUGAAGAACGGUCCAAAGUAUGACAAGAGGAGCAUGCUCACCAAGGACUAAAUCGCGUAACGACCGCGAACAAAGUUAAAGGCAAGAAACGCCCGUCGGGGCAAGCAUUACCAGUUUGUCGCCUAACGAGCUAGGUGGAGGCUUGGAAAAGAAGCGGUCAAACGAAUCAAGCACGAGAAGAAAACGUAUUCGGAUGCGAGGUAAGUAGAGCUUACGCCCCUUUACAUUAUUUGCAAAGUUACUUAAUUUCAAGUAAUGAUAUGAAUGCUACUAAGUGGUUGGUAUAUGAUAUUCCGACGCGAUUCAAUGAGAGUUGGAAUGAGGGGAAAAUGGUAAAUUAGUCAUGUAAUGACGAAUAAUUAAAAACGGUUUUAAGUAAAACAAGUUCAAAGAAAACCGGGAUAGGUAAAAGGGGUGAAAUGGUAAUUAAAUACCAUCUCAACACGGACAAAUGGUCAAUUAGACUAAAUGGGUCAAAUGGUGUGGAUAACACCAUUUGGCAAUAACAUUUGACGAUCGCUUGUUGAGUUUUGUGAUUUCAGGAAAUAACAUGUGUUGCGUUGCUUUAAUUAGAAAAUUUAAAGCAAGAAGUAUGUAAACGGGUCAAUACUAUGAUCCGAGCCAGGUGAAGAUGGGAUAAGCGGUUGAAAGAUAUGAAAGUUUUCGUGCAAAUAAACGGCAAAAUAGGAAAGCUGGAAUGCAGGGACCACCGUAACUUACGGUGCCACCGUAAGUUACGGUGGAGCUGAAGGCUUUACGGCAGCCCCCUACUGAUUUACGGUUCUUUUUGGAUGCCGGAAGACGAUCAAGCUCAUCGAAGGACCGAACACGAUAAAGAUACAUGCUUCCGCACAUUUCCUCGUCGUAAAUUUUUAAACGACAAACUCGAUCACUUAUGUUGAAUAACUUAUGAUUUGUAAAAGUUUUAAUAAACUCGUAUUU
This 1474-nucleotide long non-coding RNA is filed under the name Helianthus annuus (common sunflower). Its description in RNAcentral is "hypothetical non coding rna". Lineage: Eukaryota; Viridiplantae; Streptophyta; Magnoliopsida; Asterales; Asteraceae. The record is from RNAcentral.